Molecule: long non-coding RNA, 698 nt
Organism: Diceros bicornis minor
Lineage: Eukaryota; Metazoa; Chordata; Mammalia; Perissodactyla; Rhinocerotidae
Exons: 3
Source: RefSeq, a predicted model, not a curated record
AAGCAAGAAAAACUAUAAGGAAAAAGUGGCUUCCCAAGUAUCGUACUGAAUAAAAGUCACUUAUUGAGGGCAGAACAAAUAAUGCAUAGUGCAUUUUUUUCAGGAAUUAUUAUUUCAAUGGUUUCUUGUGCCACUUAAAACCUCCUGAGUAAGUUAAAUACGAAUCAUAUGAGAUAUUGACUAGAUGAAAUUUUCCACUCAGAGGAUUGAAGCUGCGGGAACACCCUCAGAGAUUCACUCAUGGAGAUAAAAAAUACUUAUAUCUUGAAGAACAUGAAGAGCAAUACAAAACAGAGCACAAAACCACAGUUUUUCUCAUCUGCUACAAUCAGAAAGUCAAAGCUGAGAGUGCCUGAGGCUUCUGUUCGUGGUCUUCUACAUCCAGUGAAUUAGCAAAAAGGACUCCACAGAAAGGACCUUCUUUCUAUCUCAGCAAAGAGGAAGGAAAAUUUCCUCCUAACCUAGCAACAGGUCAGCCAAAGAGAAAUGCUCCAGCUCAGCUGAUGAGAAGCCAUCACCACUCUGAACUCUUGCCUUCCUCCAAUGAACUUCCAUUUAAAACAGCCCUUCCCAAUUUUCUCCUAAAACCUGAUAUAAAAGUUAACCUGCUCUUUGUCUCUCUGGACUUGCCUAUGGCUGCCAUAGCUUACUUGCUCUGAAUUGCAAUUCUCUGCUAUUCCCGAAUAAACUCAUUUUGC